This 497-nucleotide ribosomal RNA is filed under the name uncultured bacterium. RNAcentral's name for it is "partial 16S ribosomal RNA". It matches the Rfam family "Bacterial small subunit ribosomal RNA", at positions 28 to 507 of the family's 1533-position model. The record is from RNAcentral.
GAUGAACGCUGGCGGCGUGCCUAAUACAUGCAAGUCGAGCGAACAGACGAGGAGCUUGCUCCUCUGACGUUAGCGGCGGACGGGUGAGUAACACGUGGAUAACCUACCUAUAAGACUGGGAUAACUUCGGGAAACCGGAGCUAAUACCGGAUAAUAUAUUGAACCGCAUGGUUCAAUAGUGAAAGACGGUUUUGCUGGCACUUAUAGAUGGAUCCGCGCCGCAUUAGCUAGUUGGUAAGGUAACGGCUUACCAAGGCGACGAUGCGUAGCCGACCUGAGAGGGGGAUCGGCGACACGGGAACGGAGACACGGACCAGACUACUACGGGAGGCAGCAGUAGGGAAUCUUCCGCAAUGGGCGAAAGCCUGACGGAGCAACGCCGCGUGAGUGAUGAAGGUCUUCGGAGCGUAAAACUCUGUUAUUAGGGAAGAACAAAUGUGUAAGUAACUAUGCACGUCUUGACGGUACCUAAUCAGAAAGCCACGGCUAACUACGUG